This 305-nucleotide ribosomal RNA is filed under the name uncultured bacterium. RNAcentral describes it as "bacterial SSU rRNA". It matches the Rfam family "Bacterial small subunit ribosomal RNA", at positions 334 to 655 of the family's 1533-position model. The record is from RNAcentral.
UACGCCUACGGGGCGCAGCAGUAGGGAAUCUUCCACAAUGGGCGAAAGCCUGAUGGAGCAACGCCGCGUGGGUGAAGAAGGUUUUCGGAUUGUAAACUAUUUUAGACAGGGAAGAAAAAAGACAGUACCUGUAGAAUAAGCUCCGGCUAACUACGUGCCAGCAGCCGCGGUAAUACGUAGGGAGCAAGCGUUAUCCGGAAUUAUUGGGUGUAAAGGGUGCGUAGACGGGACAGCAAGUUAGUUGUGAAAGCCCUCGGCUUAACUGAGGAACUGCAACUAAAACUGUUGUUCUUGAGUGCAGGAGG